RNAcentral lists this ribosomal RNA (251 nucleotides) under uncultured bacterium. Its description in RNAcentral is "partial 16S ribosomal RNA". It matches the Rfam family "Bacterial small subunit ribosomal RNA", at positions 15 to 257 of the family's 1533-position model. The record is from RNAcentral.
GAUCCUGGCUCAGGAUGAACGCUAGCUACAGGCUUAACACAUGCAAGUCGAGGGGCAGCGGGAUUGAAGCUUGCUUCAAUUGCCGGCGACCGGCGCACGGGUGAGUAACGUGUAUCCAACCUUCCGUACACUCAGGGAUAGCCUUUCGAAAGAAAGAUUAAUACCUGAUGGUAUCUUAAGCACACGUGUAAUUAAGAUUAAAGAUUUAUCGGUGUACGAUGGGGAUGCGUUCCAUUAGGUAGUAGGCGGGG